RNAcentral lists this ribosomal RNA (253 nucleotides) under uncultured bacterium. RNAcentral describes it as "partial 16S ribosomal RNA". It matches the Rfam family "Bacterial small subunit ribosomal RNA", at positions 524 to 776 of the family's 1533-position model. The record is from RNAcentral.
UACGUAGGUGGCAAGCGUUAUCCGGAAUUAUUGGGCGUAAAGCGCGCGUAGGCGGUUUUUUAAGUCUGAUGUGAAAGCCCACGGCUCAACCGUGGAGGGUCGAUGGAAACUGGGAAACUAGAGUGCGGUAGAGGAAAGUGGAAUUCCAUGUGUAGCGGUGAAAUGCGUAGAGAUAUGGAGGAACACCAGUGGCGAAGGCGACUUUCUGGACUGUAACUGACGCUGAUGUGCGAAAGCGUGGGGAUCAAACAGG